Molecule: ribosomal RNA, 449 nt
Filed under: uncultured bacterium
Lineage: Bacteria
Description: partial 16S ribosomal RNA
Rfam family: Bacterial small subunit ribosomal RNA
Source: RNAcentral
GUCGAGAAUCUUUCACAAUGGGGGCAACCCUGAUGGAGCGACGCCGCGUGGAGGAUAAGGUCUUCGGAUUGUAAACUCCUGUCAUGCGUGAACAAGGUUGCUUGGUUAAUACCUGGGCAAAUUGAUGGUAACGCAAGAGGAAGAGACGGCUAACUCUGUGCCAGCAGCCGCGGUAAUACAGAGGUCUCAAGCGUUGUUCGGAAUCACUGGGCGUAAAGGGUGCGUAGGUGGCGUGGUAAGUCAGAUGUGAAAGCCCGGGGCUCAACCUCGGAACUGCAUCCGAUACUGCCAUGCUAGAGUACUUGAGAGGUGACUAGAAUUCUCGGUGUAGCAGUGAAAUGCGUAGAUAUCGAGAGGAAUACCAAAGGCGUAGGCAGGUCACUGGACAGUUACUGACACUGAGGCACGAAGGCCAGGGGAGCGAACGGGAUUAGAAACCCGAGUAGUCC